UCUCUCAGAAAGCUCUUCAAAUUUUUGUCUCUGAGCUCUCCCUCUGAAUUUGAUACCCAUGCGGUCAAUAUGUGCCAUCAGAUUAGAGUUAACUAAAGAAAAGAAAAACAAGAGUUUAGUCAGGAUUUGGCCAAAUGCCGAAAGAAGAAAAAAAGGAAGAAAAAUUUAAUUAAAAUAAAGAAUACGGAGAAUGAAAACUAAAUAAAAUUAAAAAGAGAAUAAUCAAAGAAGAAAUAAAAAUAAAAAUUU
Molecule: long non-coding RNA, 249 nt
Filed under: Lathyrus oleraceus (garden pea)
Lineage: Eukaryota; Viridiplantae; Streptophyta; Magnoliopsida; Fabales; Fabaceae
Description: Pisum sativum (pea) long non-coding RNA (PSAT_LNC014315)
Source: RNAcentral